RNAcentral lists this long non-coding RNA (538 nucleotides) under Medicago truncatula (barrel medic). RNAcentral's name for it is "long non-coding RNA (MTRU_LNC001081)". The record is from RNAcentral. Lineage: Eukaryota; Viridiplantae; Streptophyta; Magnoliopsida; Fabales; Fabaceae.
ACGGUUUAGACGGGUUUCGGGUGAAACGGGUGUCGGAUUUUCGGGUGGGUUUAGACGGGUUUUAACAAAAAAAAUCAGUAUUUUUUUUGUGAAAUUGCCGUCAUCUUUAGUUUCAAAGAUCAACAAUCCGGUUCUUAAAAAAAAUAUCAAACAAUCCAAAAAAAAGAAAGAGUGAAUAUAAUCAAUAGAUCUAUAAGAAACAUCAUCAACAAUCAUCUAGAUCUAGAUCUCUUCAUCAACAGUUGUCUAGAUCUCUUCAUGAAUCACUUUUUCUCAACUUGCCGAAAUCAUUGUCAAGAGAUCUAUUUUCAUGCUUGUCUUCCUUGUUUCACUAUGCCACAACGAGUUUAAUCCACAACGAGUUUAAUUCACAGAUGAUUAACAAUACUGUAAACAUGCAUGGGUUGUGACGAAAUUAAAAGAAACAUAAACUUUGAACUAUUGUAGUUGUUGAGUAAAAGAAAUUAGAAAGGUUAAUUUUAUGAUCUGAUCCAAAAAUAUUAAAUUAGGAAGAGAGGAUUGGAAAAGAAAAUAAUUG